RNAcentral lists this ribosomal RNA (2880 nucleotides) under human gut metagenome. RNAcentral's name for it is "bacterial LSU rRNA". It matches the Rfam family "Bacterial large subunit ribosomal RNA". The record is from RNAcentral.
AAAAGUUAAUAAGGGCGUACAGUGAAUGCCUUGGCACUAUUUGGCGAAGAAGGACGCGACUACCUGCGAAAAGCUACGGGGAAUUGGAAGUAAAUAUUGAUCCGUAGAUAUCCGAAUGGGGGAACCCAUCAUCAAUCAAAUGAUGAUAUCUUAAAAUGAAUACAUAGUUUUAAAGAAGUUAGACCUAGGGAAUUGAAACAUCUAAGUACCUAGAGGAGAAGAAAGAUUUAAUCGAUUCCGUAAGUAGCGGCGAGCGAAAGCGGAGGAGCCCAAACCAACGCGAGUUGGGGUUUAGGACUACGAAAGAGAGGAUUUAUUCGAGAAGAAUGGCUUGGGAAAGCCAACCAAAGAGAGUGAGAGUCUCGUAUUUAUAGGAGUGAAUCAAUCUAGUAGCACCAGAGUACGGCGAGGCACGUGGAACCUUGUCUGAAGACGCGCAGACCACUGCGUAAGGCUAAAUACACAAUAGUGACCGAUAGUGAACCAGUACCGUGAGGGAAAGGUGAAAAGAACCCCGGGAGGGGAGUGAAAAGAAUCUGAAACUGUAUGCUUACAAAAAGUCAGAGGGCGUUAAGGCCUGAUGACGUGCCUAUUGAAGAAUGAGCCGGCGAGUUAUGUUAUCGUGCGAGGUUAAGUCGAAGAGACGGAGCCGAAGCGAAAGCGAGUCUAAAGAGGGCUACAGUACGAUGACAUAGACCCGAAACCCGACGAUCUAGCCAUGAGCAGGAUGAAGGUGGGGUACAACCCACUGGAGGUCCGAACCGACGUUCGUUGAAACGCCCGCGGAUGACUUGUGGCUCGCGGUGAAAUUCCAAUCGAGUUGGGUUAUAGCUGGUUCUCCCCGAAAUAGCUUUAGGGCUAGCCUCAGGGUUAGCUACUUGCUGGUAGAGCACUGAAUGAUAGAUGGCCGCGUCUAGCGGUACUGAUAUCAAUCAAACUCCGAAUAGUGAGAUAGUAUACCUGGGAGUCAGUCUGUGGGAGAUAAGUUCCAUGGACAAGAGGAAAAGAGUCCAGACCGCCAAAUAAGGUCCCAAAAUCAAUACUAAGUGUAAAAGGAUGUAGAGAUGCAUAGACAACUAGGAUGUUGGCUCAGAAGCAGCCAUCAUUUAAAGAGUGCGUAACAGCUCACUAGUCGAGUGCCUCCGCGCCGAAAAUUUACCGGGGCUAAGUAUAGUACCGAAGUUGCGGAUUUGAGAAAAUGGUAGGGGAGCGUUCCAUCAUCGGCGAAGCGAUACCGAAAGGAGUCGUGGAGAGGAUGGAAGUGAGAAUGCCGGUGUAAGUAACGAUAUUGGGUGAGAAUCCCAAUCACCAUUAGACUAAGGUUUCCUGGGGAAGGUUCGUCCGCCCAGGGUAAGUCGGGACCUAAGGCGAGGCUGAGAAGCGUAGUCGAUGGACGACAGGUUGAUAUUCCUGUACCCGUAUAUAAGUGAAGUAAUGACAGAGAAGGCUAGAUCGGCUACCUACUGGAUGGUAGUACAAGCGAGAUAGCAGGUGCAAAGGCAAAUCCGUGCACGAAAUGCAAGGCGUGAAGUGGAGCGAACGAGCAAUCAAGUAGCGAAGCGAUUGAUGCCAGCUUUCAAGAAAAGUUGCUAACAUAAUUAUAUGCGGCCCGUACCGAGAACGGACACACGUGGUCAAGGAGAGUAUCCUAAGGUGAGCGAGUGAACUGUUGUUAAGGAACUCUGCAAAAUUACUUCGUAAGUUCGCAAGAAGAAGUGCUACAGCGAUGUAGCCGCAGUGAAGAGGCCCAAGUAACUGUUUAACAAAAACACAGCUUUAUGCUAAGUCGUAAGACGAUGUAUAUGAGGUGAUGCCUGCCCAGUGCUGGAAGGUUAAAAGGAGAUGUGGUCCGCAAGGAGAAGCAUUGAUCUGAAGCCCCAGUGAACGGCGGCCGUAACUAUAACGGUCCUAAGGUAGCGAAAUUCCUUGUCGGGUAAGUUCCGACGCGCAUGAAUGGUAUAAUAAUUUGGGCGCUGUCUCGACAGCAGACUCGGUGAAAUCUUAAUACCUGUGAACAUGCAGGUUACCCGCGACUAGACGGAAAGACCCCAUGGAGCUUUACUAUAGCUUAAUAUUGAAUAGUUGAAAGUCCUGUACAGGAUAGGUAGGAGACAAAGAAGUUUGUGCGUCAGCAUGAAUGGAGUCAACGGUGGGAUACUACUCUUGAUUUUCGAUUGUUCUAACUUAGGAUCAAAACGGGUCCGAGGACAGUGUUAGGUGGGUAGUUUGACUGGGGCGGUCGCCUCCUAAAGAGUAACGGAGGCGCCCCAAGGUACCCUCAGUAUGGUUGGAAAUCAUACAACGAGUGCAAAGGCAUAAGGGUGCUUGACUGCGAGACCUACAAGUCGAGCAGGGACGAAAGUCGGGCUUAGUGAUCCGGCGGUUCCGAGUGGAAGGGCCGUCGCUCAACGGAUAAAAGCUACCCUGGGGAUAACAGGCUGAUCGCGUCCAAGAGUUCACAUCGACGACGCGGUUUGGCACCUCGAUGUCGGCUCAUCGCAUCCUGGAGGGGAAGUACCUUCCAAGGGUAUGGCUGUUCGCCAUUUAAAGCGGUACGCGAGCUGGGUUCAAAACGUCGUGAGACAGUUUGGUCCCUAUCUGUCGUGGGCGUAGGAAGUUUGAAAGGAGCUGUCCCUAGUACGAGAGGACCGGGAUGGACAUAGCAAUGGUACACCAGUUGUCACGCCAGUGGCACAGCUGGGUAGCUACCUAUGGAUCGGAUAAACGCUGAAAGCAUCUAAGCGCGAAGCCGUCCUUAAGAUAAGACUUCCCAUUCGCAAGAAGUAAGAUCCCUUCAAAGUUAGGAGGUUGAUAGGUCAUAGAUGUACGCAUAGUGAUAUGUUUAGUCAAGUGAUACUAAUAGAUCGAGGACUUAAGAUA